RNAcentral lists this ribosomal RNA (253 nucleotides) under uncultured bacterium. Its description in RNAcentral is "partial 16S ribosomal RNA". It matches the Rfam family "Bacterial small subunit ribosomal RNA", at positions 524 to 776 of the family's 1533-position model. The record is from RNAcentral.
UACGUAGGCAGCGAGCGUUGUUCGGAGUUACUGGGCGUAAAGGGUGUGUAGGCGGUUGUUUAAGUUUGGUGUGAAAUCUCCCGGCUCAACUGGGAGGGUGCGCCGAAUACUGAAUGACUAGAGUGCGGGAGAGGAAAGUGGAAUUCCUGGUGUAGCGGUGAAAUGCGUAGAUAUCAGGAAGAACACCCGUGGCUAAGGCGGCUCUCUAGUACGGUACUGACGCUGAGACGCGAAAGCGUGGGGAGCGAACAGG